Molecule: RNase P RNA, 451 nt
Filed under: Myxococcales bacterium
Lineage: Bacteria; Pseudomonadati; Myxococcota; Myxococcia; Myxococcales
Description: RNase P RNA component class A
Rfam family: Bacterial RNase P class A
About the family: Ribonuclease P (RNase P) is a ubiquitous endoribonuclease, found in archaea, bacteria and eukarya as well as chloroplasts and mitochondria.
Source: RNAcentral
GGAGGUGGACGGAAGAUCGCCGGCGGACAUAAACCGUUCGCGGGAGGAAAGUCCGGGCUCCAUAGAGCAGGGAAGUCGGUAACACCGACCCGGGGCGACCCGAGGGAAAGCGCAACAGAAAUCACACCGCCGAAGAGCGGCGCCCUGCCCCGCAAGGGGCGAGGCGGCGUGGCGGGCGCCUGGCGUCCGCCCGGUAAGGUUGAAAUCGUGGGGUAAGAGCCCACGCGCGACAGCCGGGUGACCGGCGGCGAGGCAAGCCCUUCCCGGAGCAAGCUUGAAUAGGGGCACUGUCGAGGACGGCUCGUCCGAUUGCACGCUCUUCGGAGUUUGCGGAGUGCCCGGGUUAGAGUGCUUGAGCGCCGUGGCAACACGGCGCCUAGAGGAAUGAUCUUCACCGGAUCGGCGGCAACGCCGGAUCGGGACAGAACCCGGCUUACAGUCCACUCGGCUC